This 482-nucleotide ribosomal RNA is filed under the name uncultured bacterium. RNAcentral's name for it is "partial 16S ribosomal RNA". It matches the Rfam family "Bacterial small subunit ribosomal RNA", at positions 28 to 523 of the family's 1533-position model. The record is from RNAcentral.
GACGAACGCUGGCGGCGUGCUUAACACAUGCAAGUCGAACGAUGAAACCUAGCUUGCUAGGUCGAUUGGUGGCGAACGGGUGAGUAACACGUGACUAACCUGCCCCUUUCUCUGGGAUAACGCUCCGAAAGGAGUGCUAAUACCGGAUACUCACACCGAGGCACAUGCCUUGGUGUGGAAAGUUUUUCGGAAAGGGAUGGAGUCGCGGCCUAUCAGCUUGUUGGUGAGGUAAGGGCUCACCAAGGCGACGACGGGUAGCCGGCCUGAGAGGGCGACCGGCCACACUGGGACUGAGACACGGCCCAGACUCCUACGGGAGGCAGCAGUGGGGAAUAUUGCACAAUGGGCGCAAGCCUGAUGCAGCGACGCCGCGUGAGGGAUGAAGGUCUUCGGAUUGUAAACCUCUUUCAGUAGGGACGAAGCGAAAGUGACGGUACCUAAAGAAGAAGCACCGGCUAACUACGUGCCAGCAGCCGCCGUAA